This 497-nucleotide ribosomal RNA is filed under the name uncultured bacterium. Its description in RNAcentral is "partial 16S ribosomal RNA". It matches the Rfam family "Bacterial small subunit ribosomal RNA", at positions 28 to 506 of the family's 1533-position model. The record is from RNAcentral.
GAUGAACGCUGGCGGCGUGCCUAAUACAUGCAAGUCGAGCGAACAGAUGAGGAGCUUGCUCCUCUGACGUUAGCGGCGGACGGGUGAGUAACACGUGGAUAACCUACCUAUAAGACUGGGAUAACUUCGGGAAACCGGAGCUAAUACCGGAUAAUAUAUUGAACCGCAUGGUUCAAUAGUGAAAGACGGUUUUGCUGUCACUUAUAGAUGGAUCCGCGGCGCAUUAGCUAGUUGGUAAGGUAACGGCUUACCAAGGCAACGAUGCGUAGCCGACCUGAGAGGGUGGAUCGGCCACACGGAACCUGAGACACGGUCAGGACUCUUACGGAAGGAGCAGUUAGGGAAUCUUCCGCAUUGGGCGAAAGCUUGCCGGAGCAACGCGGCGUGAGUGAUAAAGUUCUUCGGAUCGUAAAACUCUGUUAUUAGGGAAGAACAAAUGUGUAGGUAACUAUGCACGUCUGAACGGUACCUAAUCAGAAGGCAACGGCUAACUACGU